AAUGAACGCUGGCGGCGCGCCUAAUACAUGCAAGUCGAGCGAGAAGACGUAGCAAUACGUUUGUAAAGCGGCGAACGGGUGAGGAAUACAUGGGUAACCUACCCUCGAGUGGGGAAUAACUAGCCGAAAGGUUAGCUAAUACCGCGUACGCUCCUUGGACUUCGGUUCAGGGAGGAAAGCGAUACCGUGGGUAUCGCGCUCUUGGUUGGGCUCAUGUCCUAUCAGCUUGGUUGGUGAGGUAACGGCUCACCAAGGCUUCGACGGGUAGCUGGUCUGAGAGGACGAUCAGCCACACUGGCACUGCGACACGGGCCAGACUCCUACGGGAGGCAGCAGUAAGGAUAUUGCNCAAUGGGCGAAAGCCUGACGCAGCGACGCCGCGUGGGGGAU
RNAcentral lists this ribosomal RNA (390 nucleotides) under uncultured bacterium. RNAcentral's name for it is "bacterial SSU rRNA". It matches the Rfam family "Bacterial small subunit ribosomal RNA", at positions 29 to 409 of the family's 1533-position model. The record is from RNAcentral.